GACAUUUGAAACUACCGAACAAAUGAGGAGAAAAGAAAGAGAAAGGAGGAUCAGACUAUAGAAAAGAAACAUCAAAUGGAAAACCACUAGAAAAUUGAAGCGAGAAAGAAGGACCAAAUGGAGGAGAGGUUUAAAGAGCACUGGCACCCAAGAAGAUGGUGGUGAUUGGAAUGUCUUCUUCUAGUGACUACAAUGGUAGGAGAGUGAUUGACAAAGAAGAUAGAAAAUCAACUGCACAAAACAGAAAGGAGGAUGAAAGGAGCCUAUUAUACCACUCAUCAGUGGUCAGGAUUUGGCCUCUCACCAUG
RNAcentral lists this long non-coding RNA (308 nucleotides) under Elaeis guineensis (African oil palm). RNAcentral describes it as "long non-coding RNA (EGUI_LNC003612)". The record is from RNAcentral. Lineage: Eukaryota; Viridiplantae; Streptophyta; Magnoliopsida; Arecales; Arecaceae.